GCUUAAUAUUAAAAAUAAAUAAUUACACGGUGAAACACAAACAGGAACUGUAAUUCGUAGUAUUCACAUCUCCUUAGAUAAAGCAAAAUAAUAAGUAAGUUGCUCGAACGUGACCUCUACUGGAUUUCGAAAUUCCUUAAACUAGCGUUCCUUUAAUAUUUUAUUUUCGAAUGAUUCUUUUCAAAUAUUCUAUAAGAUUGUCAAAAAGUAGUUUGUCAAAUAUUUAAAAUUAAUAACUUUAAUAUAGAAUAUGCUUAAAUUUUCUCUUAAAAUGUAUUGUAAAUAUAUACAUUUUCAUUAAAAAGGAAUAUUUCUAUGUCUCUUUAAAACAGAAGAUUCUAGGAAGGUAUAACUUCUUAAUUACGUCACGAUUAAUUUUAUCUCAUAGUACUAUUGUCCAUCUUGUCAAGAUAUGAUCACAUAAAAGUAGGUGAAGUGUAAGUAGCAACUGAUACGCUUUUACGAUCGUUUCACAGACUGGCGUCAUGCUUGUCUGUAGCCUCCAAAGCAAACAAAUAAUGAUGGGUAAAUGAGAUGCAAUGGCAGCUUAGUAUGGUAGGGCUGACUACAACAUUUCAAAGGAGUGAAUAAAAUGUAAUUUUGAAUAAAUUCGUGAUGCGCUGAUACAUUUAUUAAAACACGAAAUAAAUUUAAUAAAGAAAAUAAUAAAUGAACUGGAAACUUUAUGUACGUAUCUUAUGUUAGGCUGUAAAAAUGAAAAUUCGUCAAAGCAACUGAAACCAACUAAUACAUCACUUUCGAAAAUAAAUAUACAAUAAAAACUUGUCACUUUUUGUGCAAACUAGUCAAUGUACAUACGUGUAUAUAUUACAAAAUGAUCAAACAUCAAUAAUUAAGGUUUGUAUAUUUCGUAUAUUUUAAAUUAUUAAAUAAUUUCAGUAAUUCUAAAUAAUACCUAAACUAAAUGGAAUUGCUUUCUAAUUGUUAGAUAUGUACAAACGCUUGUUUCGAUAAUUAAUAUAAACAUAUUAACGAUGAUUAAUAUAUUUUAUAACUAUUUGAAAUAUAAGAAAUAACCACAUUAAAAGGAUGUAUUCGUCAAUACUUUUUGUCUAUUGAUAUACAACGACGCAGA
This is a long non-coding RNA of Nomia melanderi (Alkali bee), 1096 nucleotides long. RefSeq lists it as uncharacterized. The record is from RefSeq and is a predicted model, not a curated record. NCBI's taxonomy places the organism in Eukaryota, Metazoa, Arthropoda, Insecta, Hymenoptera, Halictidae.